This is a non-coding RNA of Alicyclobacillus acidoterrestris ATCC 49025, 86 nucleotides long. NCBI's taxonomy places the organism in Bacteria, Bacillati, Bacillota, Bacilli, Caryophanales, Alicyclobacillaceae. The record is from Rfam.
UAACCGGUACUGAAAGGUGCCGCUGAACGGGCAGAAGUCAGCAGACGGCAUAGUACCUGUGGAGGGACGCCAAAACAGGGAAGGCC